Chenopodium quinoa (quinoa) is the source of this 653-nucleotide long non-coding RNA. RefSeq lists it as uncharacterized. NCBI's taxonomy places the organism in Eukaryota, Viridiplantae, Streptophyta, Magnoliopsida, Caryophyllales, Amaranthaceae. The record is from RefSeq and is a predicted model, not a curated record. The transcript has 6 exons.
GAUAGUCAGCACACCUUCGUUUCAUUUUCUCCAUUUUAACUUAAAGUUCAAACGUUUCUACACAUUUUCUCCUCACUUUUCCUCUUCAAUCACUUCAAAACAUUACUUAAAUUUAAAAACUUCACAAUAAGUCACGCCAACUAAAGGUUCAACACGCCAUGGAUGCGUCUGGAGAAUCGAUGGUCUAAACAGCAAUCCUGCAACGAAUAAAUGGCUAGAUGUCACUUCUAUGGCAUCAACAAUUGCGUCUGAGUCUGAGAAUCAGAUUGAAGCAUCAAAUGUUGCUGGUCCUGAGCCUAGCAAAGUUACAGAAGAUGAACAUAAUGCUGACCCUAAUCCUGAAAGUGAAACAAGUGGUUCUGGGCUAGCACAGUCACAGAAGGGUACUGUAGUGGAUCCUAGUAUUGAAACCCACAACAAGGCAACAACAGAUUUGGUACUCAACUAAUUACCAACUGGAUUAGAGAGAUCAACGAAUGAAUCAGGGCCUCCAAUAGAAGGGAAUGUUGGAGACAGUGAGUCUAAGGUAACUGAUCAGGGUGAAGAUGCUGAUGUGAGAGAGGAAUCAAAGGUAUCUUCACCUCCAACAGAAGAGAAUGUUGUUGACCGUGAGUCUAAGGGAACUAAUCACGGUGAAGAUGCUGUUGUGAGAG